This 257-nucleotide ribosomal RNA is filed under the name uncultured bacterium. RNAcentral's name for it is "partial 16S ribosomal RNA". The record is from RNAcentral.
CUGCUGCCUCCCGUAGGAGUCUGGGCCGUGUCUCAGUCCCAAUGUGGCCGUCCAACCUCUCAGUCCGGCUACCGAUCGUCGGCUUGGUGGGCCGUUACCCCACCAACUACCUAAUCGGACGCGAGCCCAUCUUUCAGCGGAUUGCUCCUUUGAUUAUCCUACCAUGCGAUAAGAUAAUGUCAUGCGGUAUUAGCGUUCGUUUCCAAACGUUAUCCCCCUCUGAAAGGCAGGUUGCUCACGCGUUACUCACCCGUCCG